AGUGAACGCUGGCGGUAGGCCUAACACAUGCAAGUCGAACGGCAGCACAGUAAGAGCUUGCUCUUACGGGUGGCGAGUGGCGGCCGGGUGAGGAAUACAUCGGAAUCUACUUUUUCGUGGGGGAUAACGUAGGGAAACUUACGCUAAUACCGCAUACGGCCUACGGGUGAAACCAGGGGAUCUUCGGACCUUGCGCGAUUAAAUGAGCCGAUGUCGGAUUAGCUAGUUGGCGGGGUAAAGGCCCACCAAGGCGACGAUCCGUAGCUGGUCUGAGAGGAUGAUCAGCCACACUGGAACUGAGACACGGUCCAGACUCCUACGGGAGGCAGCAGUGGGGAAUAUUGGACAAUGGGCGCAAGCCUGAUCCAGCCAUACCGCGUGGGUGAAGAAGGCCUUCGGGUUGUAAAGCCCUUUUGUUGGGAAAGAAAAGCAGCAGGUUAAUACCCCGCUGUUCUGACGGUACCCAAAGAAUAAGCACCGGCUAACUUCGUG
This 492-nucleotide ribosomal RNA is filed under the name uncultured bacterium. RNAcentral describes it as "partial 16S ribosomal RNA". It matches the Rfam family "Bacterial small subunit ribosomal RNA", at positions 29 to 507 of the family's 1533-position model. The record is from RNAcentral.